CGCUCCCUGUAUAAGCCUAAAUAGGGAGUCAGACCUGCCCAGUGAAUAUUUUUAACGGCCGCGGUACUCUGACCGUGCAAAGGUAGCAUAAUCAUUUGCCUUAUAAUUGAAGGCUCGUAUGAAUGGUUCGACAAGAAUGUAGCUGUCUCUUUAUAAUUAAGCAGAAUUUUAUUUCUAGGUGAAGAAGCCUAGAUGUUACUGAAAGACAAGAAGACCCUAUCGAGCUUAAAAUAAAUUAAUAAAAUUAUAAUUUUUUAUAUAUAAAAAAUUAAUUAUUAAAGAUUUUAGUUGGGGCGACUAAGGAACAAAAAAAGCUUCCUUAAAUAAUUCUAAGGCAAACAAGCAUUGAUCCAGAAAUUUUGAUUAAUGAAAUUAGUUACCGUAGGGAUAACAGCAUUAUCUUUUUUGAGAGUUCUAAUCGAAAAAAAGGUUUGUGACCUCGAUGUUGGACCAGAAUAUCCUAAAGAUGCAGCCGUCUUUAAGGGUUGGUCUGUUCGACCAUUAAAAUUCUACGUGAUCUGAGUUCAGACCGGCGUGAGCCAGGUCAGUUUCUAUCUUCAGUUAUAUAAAUAGAUUUAGUACGAAAGGACCAGUUUAUUGCAAAUCUAAGUUGUUUCUAGAGAAAAAAUAUAACAGAUUUUUAAUUUACUAAGAUAUACAGAUCAAAUUAGCAAAGCUAAUGCAAUUGACUUAGGAUCAGUAGACAUAGGUGAAACUCCUUUAUUUGAUAUUAAAAAUAAUAAAGGUGGCAGAAUCAA
RNAcentral lists this ribosomal RNA (758 nucleotides) under Attiliosa nodulifera. RNAcentral describes it as "partial 16S ribosomal RNA". The stretch from base 1 to 583 matches the Rfam family "Bacterial large subunit ribosomal RNA", at positions 1816 to 2925 of the family's 2925-position model. Lineage: Eukaryota; Metazoa; Mollusca; Gastropoda; Neogastropoda; Muricidae. The record is from RNAcentral.